Molecule: long non-coding RNA, 1064 nt
Organism: Dendroctonus ponderosae (mountain pine beetle)
Lineage: Eukaryota; Metazoa; Arthropoda; Insecta; Coleoptera; Curculionidae
Exons: 2
Source: RefSeq, a predicted model, not a curated record
UGAUUUGUACGCCUUAUUUCAAACUGUCCCAAAUAAGUCACACUCGCUUCUUGGCGAUGGGCCAGAGUUAACCCUACUAUUUCAUAUCGUCAUAUCGCGUCAUUUUGACUUCAGUUACUGAAGAUCGUGUCGGCACGUGUUUUGCAAUAAGUUGAAUCUCAAUUAUAAAGUUCAGUUUGAAAUUGAAGACCGUUUUUUUUUAAACUGCAUUUUUACCGAAAUUAAGUUAUACAUGGAUUCUAUAUAAAAAUUCAAUGCCCGACCAGCUGGUAGCGUCAGAUUAAGGAAAACACGUUAACGACGAGAGGUACAGCAUAGACAAAUUUCUGAGGUUCUUCAAAACUCGAUAACUGCGCGCGCUUUUUUAAAACUUGAUAAGUAGCGAACCUGCAUUACUUAAAUGAAUCAUUUUGUUAGUACUGUUUCAGCUCUGCUCCAGUGAUUUUUGUUUUCUUUUUGAAAUAUGCAUCAAAUAACGGCAUAAUAUAGUAAAGACGUAAAACUCAUAAAAAAGGGAAGAAAAUUUCGUAUCUCUAAGGAAUAGCAUUCAAGUAAGACCAAAGAUUACGCGUUAUAGAAAAGCGAGGUUAAGUGAAGCGGACAUCGCAUGUAAUAAUUUCGAAAGCAAGAGAAAAGGUGUUGUUUGUAAUGCAAGAGAACUGACAAGAAAUGAGAUACUUGGUUUUAGGGAAAUGAUAUAUGCAAACGACGCGAAAAAAAUUGAUCAAGAUAAAAUACUGCUUAAAUUCAUGCAAGUUGAUGUACCUAGCGAAAAACUACAGAUGAAACAGUUUUGAGGCGAAACGGAAAACUUUCGGUCAAAUAUUCAAUUAGAACUUCUUGAGGCAAUAUUCCUGUUUGUGCUGCCACAUUUUAAAAUAUUUUUAUUUGUUGUUCCUCUGAACUUGUCUCAUGUCUUGGGUGCAAGUAAAGAUAGACUGUCUGCUAUUUCAAAAAAAAUUAUCGCCGGAGAACUAUUAGUUGAAAAGCGGGGAGGUCGUGUACCGAGUCAGAUUGAUAAGGAUAUUUCUGAAGCAAUAAAGACACACAUAAGCAGCUACAAA